GACGAACGCUGGCGGCAUGCUUAACACAUGCAAGUCGAACGGAAAGGCCUCUUUCGGGGGGUACUCGAGUGGCGAACGGGUGAGUAACACGUGAGUAACCUGCCCUUGACUUUGGGAUAACUUCAGGAAACUGGGGCUAAUACCGGAUAGGAGCUCCUGCUGCAUGGUGGGGGUUGGAAAGUUUCGGCGGUUGGGGAUGGACUCGCGGCUUAUCAGCUUGUUGGUGGGGUAGUGGCUUACCAAGGCUUUGACGGGUAGCCGGCCUGAGAGGGUGACCGGCCACAUUGGGACUGAGAUACGGCCCAGACUCCUACGGGAGGCAGCAGUGGGGAAUAUUGCACAAUGGGUGGAAGCCUGAUGCAGCAACGCCGUGUGCGGGAUGACGGCCUUCGGGUUGGAAACCGCUUUCGCUCAUGACGAAGCUUUGUGUGACGGUAGUGGGUAAAGAAGCACCGGCUAACUACGUG
RNAcentral lists this ribosomal RNA (467 nucleotides) under uncultured bacterium. RNAcentral's name for it is "partial 16S ribosomal RNA". It matches the Rfam family "Bacterial small subunit ribosomal RNA", at positions 28 to 507 of the family's 1533-position model. The record is from RNAcentral.